This 498-nucleotide ribosomal RNA is filed under the name uncultured bacterium. Its description in RNAcentral is "partial 16S ribosomal RNA". It matches the Rfam family "Bacterial small subunit ribosomal RNA", at positions 30 to 523 of the family's 1533-position model. The record is from RNAcentral.
AUUGAACGCUGGCGGCAUGCCUUACACAAGCAAGUCGAACGGUAACAGGUCUUCGGAUGCUGACGAGUGGCGAACGGGUGAGUAAUACAUCGGAACGUGCCCGAGAGUGGGGGAUAACGAGGCGAAAGCUUUGCUAAUACCGCAUACGAUCUCAGGAUGAAAGCAGGGGACCGCAAGGCCUUGCGCUCACGGAGCGGCCGAUGGCAGAUUAGGAAGUUGGUGGGAUAAAAGCUUACCAAGCCGACGAUCUGUAGCUGGUCUGAGAGGACGACCAGCCACACUGGGACUGAGACACGGCCCAGACUCCUACGGGAGGCAGAAGUGGGGAAUUUUGGACAAUGGGCGCAAGCCUGAUCCAGCCAUGCCGCGUGCAGGAUGAAGGCCUUCGGGUUGUAAACUGCUUUUGUACGGAACGAAAAGACUCCUUCUAAUAAAGGGGGUCCAUGACGGUACCGUAAGAAUAAGCACCGGCUAACUACGUGCCAGCAGCCGCCGUAA